UGCCAGCCGCCGCGGUAAUACGAAGGGCCCUAGCGUAGUUCGGAAUUACUGGGCUUAAAGAGUUCGUAGGUGGUUGAAAAAGUUGGUGGUGAAAUCCCAGAGCUUAACUCUGGAACUGCCAUCAAAACUUUUCAGCUAGAGUAUGAUAGAGGAAAGCAGAAUUUCUAGUGUAGAGGUGAAAUUCGUAGAUAUUAGAAGGAAUACCAAUGGCGAAGGCAGCUCUCUGGCUCGUCACUGACGCUGAGGUGCGAAAGCGUGGGUAGCAAACAGGAUUAGAUA
RNAcentral lists this ribosomal RNA (279 nucleotides) under uncultured bacterium. RNAcentral describes it as "partial 16S ribosomal RNA". It matches the Rfam family "Bacterial small subunit ribosomal RNA", at positions 506 to 784 of the family's 1533-position model. The record is from RNAcentral.